GAUGAACGCUGGCGGCGUGCCUAAUACAUGCAAGUCGAGCGAACAGACGAGGAGCUUGCUCCUCUGACGUUAGCGGCGGACGGGUGAGUAACACGUGGAUAACCUACCUAUAAGACUGGGAUAACUUCGGGAAACCGGAGCUAAUACCGGAUAAUAUAUUGAACCGCAUGGUUCAAUAGUGAAAGACGGUUUUGCUGUCACUUAUAGAUGGAUCCGCGCCGCAUUAGCUAGUUGGUAAGGUAACGGCUUACCAAGGCAACGAUGCGUAGCCGACGUGAGAGGGUGAUCGGCCACACUGGAGCUGAGACACGGUCCAGACUCCUACGGGAGGCAGCAGUAGGGAAUCUUCCGCAAUGGGCGAAAGCCUGACGGAGCAACGCCGCGUGAGUGAUGAAGGUCUUCGGAUCGUAAAACUCUGUUAUUAGGGAAGAACAAAUGUGUAAGUAACUAUGCACGUCUUGACGGUAACUAAUCAGAAAGCCACGGCUAACUACGUG
Molecule: ribosomal RNA, 497 nt
Filed under: uncultured bacterium
Lineage: Bacteria
Description: partial 16S ribosomal RNA
Rfam family: Bacterial small subunit ribosomal RNA
Source: RNAcentral